Zonotrichia leucophrys gambelii is the source of this 3179-nucleotide RNA transcript. RefSeq lists it as uncharacterized. Lineage: Eukaryota; Metazoa; Chordata; Aves; Passeriformes; Passerellidae. The record is from RefSeq and is a predicted model, not a curated record. The transcript is spliced from 6 exons.
UCCCUGACUCUGCUCCGCAAUGGCGGCCGGUGGCCGGGCCCCGCUCCCCGGCCUGAGCCCCGUGAGGGGACAGAGUGCUGGCACAGCCGCCUCGGCCCGGGCCACCCUGUCCCUGCCCGGGCCCGCGUCCCCCGGAGCGCGCCCUGCAGCGCAGAACGCGGCCUCGGAGCCAGGAGCGGGGCCAAUGCCCUCGGCUCGGCAGCGGCGGCGGGAGGCGGCGGGCGGUGCCCUCAGGGCAGGAAAAAUCAUCAAACUCCUCCCAUCUUUGCCAAAAACUUUGGUGUUUGGGCAGCCAAAGGCAAGAGGCUUCAGCGCCAGGGCUCUGCACUGGAGGGCUCUGCUCCUGCCCACGCUGUGGGUGAGCCAGGGCUGGCACAGGGAAUGGUGCAGGUGCUGGUCUGGCAGUGGAGCUGCUGCCCUUUGGAGCCAUUUUAAAGGCUGUCCUUGCUGGAGCACCCUGGUCCCUGCCAUCCCCUGGGACACAGAGGGAGCCCUGUCCCAAGUGGCCUUGGCACCUUGGCAGGGAUGUGGCAGCAGCCCCAGAGCAGCUGGAGGAGAAAACCUCCCAGCAGAGACAGAUGGCAGUGGAGGCCAGAGCUGUGUUUGGAGCAGGGAGUGCUGAGAGCUGAAUCUGCCUGUGCUGCCACAGCCUGAGCACAGCCUGGGAACAGCCUGGGAAAGGGAUUGGGGCAAUUUCUGAUGCCCCAGUGAGAAGAACACAAACUCAGCCAUUCAGCCUGACAGGCCCCUCCACCAGAGCUCAGCACACAUCCUCAGAGGGAAGUCCAGCAUCCAAAGGGAAAAAAAGCACAGAAGAAAAAGCAGCCAGCAGGGAAGGGACAAGAGGAUCCCUGUGGGAUGAGGCUGGAGAGAGCGAGCAGAGGAGCAGCCUCGGGCUGGAGAAGGGCAAAGGGACCAACGUGGUGUCACCAGGGCACCUGUGAGGAGCAGAAUGGACACUUGGAGGCCACAUGGAGGUGAGGAGUGGAUGGUUUGGGGCAAAGUCUGAGUUCAUCUACAGGGAAAUAAGUAGGGGAUAUUUAGGAGGGAAAAGCUGAGGUGAGGAGCUCACCCACCCUGGCACAAGGUGUGUUUGCACAGGCUGGAGCCAGAGGUGAAGGUCAAUCCAAAGCCAGCCCUGCUCAACCUCUAAAUCCCAGGAUAAGUUGUACAGGCUGCCCACUGAGGGAUUAAAAACACGAAAAUGAAACCAAGAGCAUUAAUGAGGUUCCUGGGAAUCCCAUUAACUUGUUGUCAGAACUCCUAAUACAGUUUUGAGCUUUGAUGACAAGAAUGCAUUUCUUUAUUUGGAUUAUGACUGUGUGGGAUGUGGGGUUUAUUUGGAUUUUAAAGCUCUCAUGGUGGCCCUGACACUGCUCAGGAGCUGGUAGGGAAAGCAGAGUCAGAGCUCCUGGCAGGCACAGGGUGUUUUCCCCAUAGUGGAUUGUGGAGGAAUUGUCUGGGACCUGGAUUGUCCCUCUGGGUGAUGCCACUUGCUGUGAUUUGUAUAAUUUCAUACAUUUAAUUCCCAAAACUUCCCAGCCCAGGGGUUUGAGCUGACAGGGCUGGACAAAGAUUGUUCUCUGUGUGGGGCCCAGAUUUGGGGUUCCCUGUCAGCUGUGCUAGUUGUGAUGAAUUAUACCCAGAGCCCCAGAUUCCCUGCUCCAUUCCUGCUGCAGUAACCUCCCAGUGCCCCAUGGAGUGUGGGCAUUCCCAUGCAGAGCUGCUGCCUUGGACAGCAGCUGUGCCAGGAGCCAGCAGAGCUCCCAAGGAAGCUCAGCAGCACAGGGACAAGGACAGAGCUAUAUUCCAUAGAACUGGCUGUUUCUAACCCUCACCCCAAUGGUGUCCCUGGGGUCACUGGACAGAGCUGCCUGGAAUUGAGCUGGUUUCACCCCCUGAGCUCCAGGAUGGAGAACAUCCAGUUGGUGUUUAAAGCAGGAGAAGGCAGUGGCAGAUGUGCUCCCAGCCUGUGCUGGGGCAGCCCCUGUGCCCAGGGGGGGACAUCUCUCCCUGCUGAAGCUCAGCUCCUCUCAGAGCCUCAGCAGUGGCCUCUCCAAAUUCUUUUCCCUCAGGAAAGGGAUGCACAUCUCUGUCUUCAGCACAUCUCCAGUGGGAGAUGUGAAAGCUUUCCACCACUUGUGCACUUGCAGCUGGAUCCCUGGAAAACACUAAAUUCCAUCCCACUGAUUUUCAGGUAUCUCUGAGGGCUCCUGCCUGGGAUUUAAUAUCUGUGGGGGAAGACUGCCUUGGCUUCAGUGCUGCUGAUGGAUGGUGGCCUCUGGCUGGGCAGCAGGGAAGGGAUUUGGGGUGGCUGGGACAGAGCUGGCAGCUGUGUGGGAGCUCUGAACCGGGAAUUGCUGCGUGAGCCCCUCUGCAAACGGGCCGUGCCUCCAUUCCCAGGUAAUGCCAGCUGCUCCUUGGGCUCCUCCUGGGCUCUUGGUGCUCUGUGUGGGCUGGAGCAUUUCCACGUGCCUGCUCAGAGCAGCCCCUGGCCCAGGAGCCACGGUGCAGGCACAGCUCCUCCUGCAGAUCCCACAGACACGAGGGGCUGCUUGCCUUCAGGAGCUUCUGGCUCCUCCUGCCCUGCGCUCCCAGCCAGCUGGGACACCCUGAGGGAACACCAAGGAGCACGGCUGGCAGCGAGCAGGAGACACCGAGGCCUCUGGGCCCAGAAACAGCCCCGGCCUCAGCAGCCACCAUGGCUUUGGCCUGGCAGCGCUCACCUGCAGGAAACGCCCCUGCCACUCUCCAGAGGAACCCUCAGGAAUUGUCUGGUUCCCUUCUUCCUGGGGAAACAAAGGGACAUUGUGUGAGCACAUUUACAGCUGCUGGGUAAAUCCUGGGAAGGGCAGAAAAAUCAGGGUUAUGGGGAAGAGUUUGGUGCUGACAUGUUGAGUGCCAGCCAGUUCUUCCCUACAGCCAUUGCAGGGGCUGGUGUGUAAAGCAGCAUUAGCAGAAGGGAAGGAGCUGCAUUUGCAGAGGAAGUCUCUUACUGGCAGCAGUCAUUCCCAUCCCAUGCAGGACCUUUGGAACAGCCCUGGGAUUGGCUCAGGUGUUUGGAGCAGGGUGCUGAGAGGACCAAAAUUCUGUGUUUGAUGUGCAGCUGGGCCGGUCACUUCUCAGCAUUUGAUUUGGUGAUCCUCACGGCUCUGGAAAUAAAGAACAAACAGUUGUCA